GACGAACGCUGGCGGCGUGCUUAACACAUGCAAGUCGAACGGUGAAGCGCCUUCCUUUUUGGUGGGUGUGGAUGAGUGGCGAACGGGUGAGUAACACGUGAGUAACCUGCCCCCUUCUUCUGGAUAACCGCAUGAAAGUGUGGCUAAUACGGGAUAUUCUGGGUCUGUCGCAUGAUGGGUCUGGGAAAGAUAUUGUUUCGGUGGGGGAUGGGCUCGCGGCCUAUCAGCUUGUUGGUGGGGUGAUGGCCUACCAAGGCGGUGACGGGUAGUCGGCCUGAGAGGGUGGACGGCCACACUGGGACUGAGACACGGCCCAGACUCCUACGGGAGGCAGCAGUGGGGAAUAUUGCACAAUGGGCGCAAGCCUGAUGCAGCGACGCCGCGUGAGGGAUGGAGGCCUUCGGGUUGUGAACCUCUUUCGCCAGUGAAGCAGGCCUGCCUCGUUUGUGGGUGGGUUGACGGUAGCUGGAUAAGAAGCGCCGGCUAACUACGUG
This 494-nucleotide ribosomal RNA is filed under the name uncultured bacterium. Its description in RNAcentral is "partial 16S ribosomal RNA". It matches the Rfam family "Bacterial small subunit ribosomal RNA", at positions 28 to 507 of the family's 1533-position model. The record is from RNAcentral.